This 497-nucleotide ribosomal RNA is filed under the name uncultured bacterium. Its description in RNAcentral is "bacterial SSU rRNA". It matches the Rfam family "Bacterial small subunit ribosomal RNA", at positions 903 to 1397 of the family's 1533-position model. The record is from RNAcentral.
AAAGGAAUAGACGGGGACCCGCACAAGCAGCGGAGCAUGUGGUUUAAUUCGAAGCAACGCGAAGAACCUUACCAGGGCUUGACAUCCCCCGGACAGGAUUAGAGAUAAUCCCUUCUCUUCGGAGACUGGGGAGACAGGUGGUGCAUGGUUGUCGUCAGCUCGUGUCGUGAGAUGUUGGGUUAAGUCCCGCAACGAGCGCAACCCCUGCCUUUAGUUGCUAGCAAGUAAAGUUGAGCACUCUAAAGGGACUGCCGAUGAUAAAUCGGAGGAAGGUGGGGAUGACGUCAAAUCAUCAUGCCCUAUAUGUCCUGGGCUACACACGUGCUACAAUGGUCGGUACAGAGGGUAGCUACUUAGCGAUAAGAUGCCAAUCCCUUAAAGCCGAUCUCAGUUCGGAUUGCAGGCUGCAAUUCGCCUGCAUGAAGCCGGAGUUGCUAGUAAUCGUGAAUCAGCAUGUCACGGUGAAUGCGUUCCCGGGUCUUGUACACACCGCCCGU